GGUAGCGUGGCCGAGCGGUCUAAGGCGCUGGAGUAAGGUUCCAGUCUCUUCGGAGGCGUGGGUUCGAAUCCCACCGUUGCCA
This is a non-coding RNA of Tetraodon nigroviridis (spotted green pufferfish), 82 nucleotides long. NCBI's taxonomy places the organism in Eukaryota, Metazoa, Chordata, Actinopteri, Tetraodontiformes, Tetraodontidae. The record is from Rfam.